This 497-nucleotide ribosomal RNA is filed under the name uncultured bacterium. Its description in RNAcentral is "partial 16S ribosomal RNA". It matches the Rfam family "Bacterial small subunit ribosomal RNA", at positions 28 to 507 of the family's 1533-position model. The record is from RNAcentral.
GAUGAACGCUGGCGGCGUGCCUAAUACAUGCAAGUCGAGCGAACAGAUAAGGAGCUUGCUCCUUUGACGUUAGCGGCGGAUGGGUGAGUAACACGUGGAUAACCUACCUAUAAGACUGGGAUAACUUCGGGAAACCGGAGCUAAUACCGGAUAACAUAUUGAACCGCAUGGUUCAAUAGUGAAAGGCGGCUUUGCUGUCACUUAUAGAUGGAUCCGCGCCGUAUUAGCUAGUUGGUAAGGUAACGGCUUACCAAGGCAACGAUACGUAGCCGACCUGAGAGGGUGAUCGGCCACACUGGAACUGAGACACGGUCCAGACUCCUACGGGAGGCAGCAGUAGGGAAUCUUCCGCAAUGGGCGAAAGCCUGACGGAGCAACGCCGCGUGAGUGAUGAAGGUCUUCGGAUCGUAAAACUCUGUUAUCAGGGAAGAACAAAUGUGUAAGUAACUGUGCACAUCUUGACGGCACCUGAUCAGAAAGCCACGGCUAACUACGUG